CCAAUAGCGUAUAUUAAAGUUGUUGCAGUUAAAAAGCUCGUAGUUGAAUUUCGGGAUUGGCGCAUCGGUCGUGCCUCACGGGGUAUGAACUGGUGCAGUCAAUUUCUCACCUUCUGGAGAACCGCGAUGUCCUUAAUUGGAUGCCGCGGGGAACCAGGACCUUUACUUUGAAAAAAUUAGAGUGUUUAAAGCAGGCAUUUUUGCUUGAAUACAUUAGCAUGGAAUAAUAAAAUAGGACGGCAUGGUUCUAUUUUGUUGGUUUCUAGGACCACCGUAAUGAUUAAUAGGGAUAGUUGGGGGCAUUAGUAUUCAAUUGUCAGAGGUGAAAUUCUUGGAUGUAUUGAAGACUAACUACUGCGAAAGCAUUUGCCAAGGAUGUUUUCAUUAAUCAAGAACGAAAGUUAGGGGAUCGAAGACGAUCAGAUACCGUCGUAGUCUUAACCAUAAACUAUGCCGACUAGGAAUCAGACGAUGUUAAUUUUUUAAUGACUCGUUUGGCACCUUACG
Molecule: unclassified non-coding RNA, 507 nt
Filed under: uncultured Glomeromycotina
Lineage: Eukaryota; Fungi; Glomeromycota
Description: SSU rRNA
Rfam family: Eukaryotic small subunit ribosomal RNA
Source: RNAcentral